UUUUCAUUUCUAGAUUGACAAAUUUAGCGAUGCUUCGAAUAAUUCUAAUCGCAAUUGCUAUUUUAGCAGUAACUGAAACACAGCAGUACGAAACCUGCAACCUCCAAUUUGUGGACGACUACACGUGUAACAAAGAUAACCUCUGUUACUAUGGUUGCCACAAGGGGUAUUGUUGGAGUCAGUGUAAUGGUUUGAGCGAGAUGAUUUGGGAUGGUCCCCCCGGCACAUGUCAUACUGGUUAUCCGCACAUUGAAUGGUGUUGGUCAAGUGGGGCAGACUCUGCCUGCAUGAUAGACUCCGACUGUGAGAAAGUAAAGAAUAACAGCUGCAGAGGAACUUGCUCUGUUGGUUAACUACGUGUAGUCAGAGUAAUGGGAGGGCAACAG
This is a long non-coding RNA of Bolinopsis microptera, 386 nucleotides long. RefSeq lists it as uncharacterized. The transcript is spliced from 3 exons. The record is from RefSeq and is a predicted model, not a curated record. NCBI's taxonomy places the organism in Eukaryota, Metazoa, Ctenophora, Tentaculata, Lobata, Bolinopsidae.